GGUCCCCAAUGUCCCCUCCCCCCAUUUUUGGGGUCCCAUCCCAAUUUUUGGUGUCCCCAAUGUCCCCUCCCCCAGCCGAGGCCACCGCGGUGUCACCAGCGCUGGGACUUUAUUGGGGGUGGCACCGGGGGACAGCCAGGUGACGUCGGUGUCACCGUGCCAGCUCCGCGUGACACCUGUGUCACAUCCGUGUCACACCCAGGUGACAUCAGUGUGACAUCUGUGUCACACCCAGGUGACGUCGGUGUCACCGUGCCAGCUCCGUGUGACACCUGUGUGACACCGUGUCCUUGUGUCACACCCAGGUGACACCGGUGUCACUGUCCCAGCUCCGCGUGACACCCGUGUGACACCUCUGUCCUUGUGUCACAUCCAGGUGACAUCCAGGUGACAGCUGUGUCACUGUCCCAGCUCCAGGUGACACCGGUGUCACUGUGCCAGCUCUGUGUCCUUGUGUCACGUCCAGGUGACAUCCGUGUCACCGUGCCAGCUGUGUGUGACAGCUGUGUCACCUCCGUGUCACUGUGCCGUGGCCGUGUCACCAUCUGUGUCACCUCCAGGUGACAGCUCUGUGUGACACCGUGUCCCUGUGUCACACCCAGGUGACAUCGGUGUCACCGUGCCAGCUCCGCGUGGCACCCAGGUGACAGCCGUGUCCCCGUGUCACAGCCGUGUCCUCGUGUGACAUCGAGGUGACACCCAGGUGACAGCCGUGUCCCCGAGCCAGCUCCGUGUCCCCGUGUCACUUUCAGGUGACGUCCAGGUGACAGCCGUGUCACUGUCCCAGCUCCGUGUCCUUGUGCCACACCCAGGUGACAGCCGUGUCACUGUCCCAGCUCCGUGUCCUUGUGCCACGCCCAGGUGACAGCCGUGUCACUGUGCCAUGUCCUUGUGCCACACCCAGGUGACAGCCGUGUCACUGUGCCAUGUCCUUGUGCCAC
This is a long non-coding RNA of Passer montanus (Eurasian tree sparrow), 941 nucleotides long. RefSeq lists it as uncharacterized. The record is from RefSeq and is a predicted model, not a curated record. Lineage: Eukaryota; Metazoa; Chordata; Aves; Passeriformes; Passeridae. The transcript is spliced from 3 exons.